RNAcentral lists this long non-coding RNA (265 nucleotides) under Elaeis guineensis (African oil palm). RNAcentral describes it as "long non-coding RNA (EGUI_LNC016141)". The record is from RNAcentral. Lineage: Eukaryota; Viridiplantae; Streptophyta; Magnoliopsida; Arecales; Arecaceae.
GUUUUACCAAUGCACCAUCAUAUCAUACGAAGGUAGAAAUUAAUAUAACAUGCUAAAUAUACCGAUUCUAACCCAAUUGCAAUAAGUUCAAAUGUUUUACCAAACAAAACAAAAAAAAAAAAUACCCUUGCAAUAAACAUUUAGAAUUUUCAAAGAAUGGUAGUUGGGCUGGCGAAGAUUAUCUAUGUCAGGAUUUAUCCAAAAUCACAGGAUGGUUAUGAACUGAUAGAGUAAAAAAGAGAAGAGAAAGUGCCACAUACAAUCC